UAAACAUAAUAAACAUACUGCUACUAAUCCAUAAUAAAUAUGCCUGUUUUAACAUCAAAGUCAGUUUACGUAGUUUAUCAGAUAACAGUUAUUUUUUUUCCUUUUUAUUAUCAAUGUACAAAUGCCUAACUUGAGGUAGAUUUUUAUAUGAUGUAAAGAUACAAUCCCGGUGUCAGAAAUAGACGACCCACAUUCACACCCAGUCACACACAAUCACCGUCUUCGGACUCUCCUCAACCCUGCCCUGCUUCUCACCUGAGCGCGUGCGCUUGUACGUACGUAUGUGUACAAACACACACCACACACACACAUACACCACACACCACACACACACACACACACACCACACACACACACACACACACACACACACACCACACAACCUUGAAUCCUGCCCAGUCGCUUCCUCAACCCUAUCAGGACGGGACUGUCAGGUCUCAGUUCACCCUGACCUUCGGCGCUGGGCAAAACGAGGCCUAGACUCACGGACGGACGAAGAGAAACCCGUCAGGCAGGCUUUCGACCCCUUCUGCAUUCUGCGGCAGAGCCAGCACCUCCGGACAUCUCUUCCUGCGCUGCCAGUGAGGUUACCUAGCCCAAGACUAGGCUCCGGCGCAGAGAGAUCACGUGACUCUCCUUCCCGCGGCGCUGGCUGUGUCUGCGGCCGGGGACUACAAGUCCCAGAGGCCCUGAGGCUCGGAGCUGCUUCCGCCGCGAGCCGGUGUUGGUCGUCCUGCGGUCGUUGGACGGUCACUGCGCUGCGGGACGAGGCGCUCCCGUGCGCGCGGGUGGGCGGGCGCGCGCGCUCCGGCUCUGAUUCGCUUGGCGCCGGGGCCCCGCGGUUUUGUUUGGUGCGGAGACUCGGUAAAUGAGAGCAAGCUCAGCUUCCGUCCUGAGAGGACUAGGGAGGCCUGCGCUCUGGACUACAUUUCCCAGAGGCCCCCAGGUCGACAACAGGUACUGCAGGCUUCAGGCUCCUCUUCGAGGCUUGGCGGAAGCGUUGUCUCUGCUGUCAGCUGUUGAACGGCAUUUGGAAUCCAGUGAACUUGGCUAGUUUGUACGCGACCGGAACUAGGGAAAGCCUAGGGUGAGGAGCCUGGCUCGGGUCCAGCGAGCUGAAGAGAGGAGAAAGAGGAGAGAUUAUGAUUGUUACUGUGUCUUUGUGGUGUGUGAUUGGGACUUGUGUGGUGAAGAUUCUGUGUUCCCAGAAUGGGUAUGUGAUUGUGACUGCCUGAGUUGCAUUGUGCAUGGGAAUGUGCUGAGCUGGUGACUCUGUGGUUGGAACUGUGUAAUUUUAUGUCGGUUUCCAACACCAUGUUGGAAGGUCUGAGACUUUGGUGGGGUCCAAGUGGAUGGGGUCAGUAGGUGGAGUCAAGAUGCUAUCCUUUAACAAGUUGGUUACCAGAAGGUGAUUGUAUAAAGCUUAUAAUCUGGAUCUCUAAUAUUCACGAAUUGGAAGGAAGUGGAGAACUAGUCAAGGUGACUUAGCCCUUCUUUUGGGUAAGAGAAAGUUACAUCUAUGUUUAAAAUGAAUGGUGAGGGAACAAAAAAGGAUAAUAAUUCACUACAACAAACUUAAAAAGUAUUGUCUAUCAUGGAUUAAAAAUAUAGAGAAUGCAAGAUUGGAACUUCAUCCAAAGAAGGAGCCAGAAACAAAUAUCUAGCAAUGUGAAUGUUCAAAGUACUUUUAAAAAUAGGAGUGUUUUAUUUUCAUGUUAAAUUGCAGAGAUGUGGUAUUAGACUCUCGAUUACUCUCCUAGACCUUGAGAGGAAUUAUACUAAUAAAAAAUCGUAGGAAAUAGUCUUCAGUAAAUACAGGAAAAAUGUAAAAUAAAAUUAAAACCCUAUGGUAACCUGGGGUUACUUCCUUUCCAGACUCUUCCUAUCUGUAUUUUUUUCACAGACAUCAUAUAUUACUGCAUCUAAUUAAUUGUCAUUUGAAGUUUAGUAUGUUGAAUCCUGCCUAACAAUUCUGGUAUUUGCUGUCAACCUGCUCUAUUUGAUCACUUUAUCUUUCCUCUCUGUAACUACCUAUGGUUUAUUUUCUUGUUUGCAGGAUUUUGAUGAACUAUUCUAAAAUUUCUUACUAAGAGCAAGGCGGGGGGGAAGCUCCAGAGAGUGAGGAGAAAAGUGAUGUGCCUGUGCAUAAGUGAAUAAGGGAAAGUUGGAAAGGGGAACUUGGAGGUGGGAAGUCUUGUGUGUAAGAGCUCAGUUACUCCAUGUCCAGGCCACGGUCAUCUCUCACAUGUUGUUCCAAUAGCCCCCUUACUCAUCCCCCUUGUUCCUUCAUUGCACCACUAAAGUUUCUUCUUAGGGGUUGGGAGUGUGACUCAGUGGUAGAACACUUACCUGGCAUGUGUGAUGUUCUGGGUUCUGUCCCCAGCACUGCAGGGGCUGGGUGGGGGAGUUUCUUAAUACAGCAGCCAGCCUAAUCCUUCCAAAAUAAGUUAGUUUAUGUCACUCCUUAAAACUUUCCAUGGCUUCCCGUCACAAUCAGAAUGAAAACCAAUCUCCACAGUGGUCUGUCUCUGUUACUGCUCUGAUCUCAUUUAGCAUUUUUUCUUAAUUCUGCCUCUCUGCAUUUGAGAUAGCUGGUUCCCUUGCAUGGAAUUUUCUCACUCCUGAUAUCUACAUGACUUAAUCUUUUGUUUCCUUCAAGGCUUUCCUCACAUGUUACUAAACUGGAAAAUCCUUCCCUGUGAACAUCUCAACAAGUGCACAGUUCCUAUCCCCCUUGCCCUAUUUUAUUUUUCUUAAAAGUUCUUAUCCUCAAUUUACCUAUUUAUAUCUGUUUCCUCCAAUCUACACCAAAAUUGAAAUUUUAUUUCAAUGGUAAUCCACUAUGGUCCUUGAUGGAUAGGAAAUUUGGCUAUGUUCAUUUUAUCAGUGGUGUGACAGGCUAGGCCUUGCUAUGUUAACAAUGAGCAAAUAUCAAUAUUUUAAGACAGAAAGUUUUUCAUUCACAUUACAUAUCUGUCACAGAGCUUUGUAUUUGUCUUCCUCUCUAGUUGUGUAGCUAGAUAUUCAAAGCCUUGGAGUCUUUGGUAUGGAUUAGGUGAUCCAUUCUUAAUUUAAUUGUUUGAAAUAAGAAACUGGAGAAGUCAAAGAGAUUUCAUGUCUUGAACUUGGUGCAUGCAUCUGGAUGCCUGUGUAUAGAUUCUGGAUGUGUACAGGCAUUCUAGCUUGAGGUCUUUGUUUUAAAUUUAGGUCAUAGCUGGAGAAAUGCUGUUUUAGGAAACUCUUGGCAUACUUGCAAAGGGAGAACUAUAUGGGGUCAUGUUAUUGUACCCACCUGCAGUUCUGAUUAACAUUUUGAGAUUAGGGUAACAAUCUGCCUGAAUUCCUCCUGCAAAGGUUUCUGGGCCCCUCUCAGCAUUGGAGCUAAUCUACUCAGAUUCCAUUCCAUCUUGCUCUUCUUAAGUUCACACAUACUUAGGGAAGCCUGGGAUUUUUUCCCGUGUGUGAGUGUGUGUGUGUGUGUGUGUGUGUGUUGGAGGAAGGAGAAGUAGGGGUAGACAGCAUAGUAAGGAUAUUGGAAGGAGAGUGUAGAAUUAUUUGGGUAUUUCUGGGAGCUUUUAAAAUUUUCCUCUUUCCCCCACAGUUGCUUUUUGAGGAUGCUGUACUUUUCCAGGAGCGGAAUAUAUAUUUCAAGGAUGAUAUAUCAGUUCACCUGGAGUAUAGCUUUUAACACAUACCUCAGAACCUGAAUUAUGUUUCCCUAGAUUCCGCUCCUGGGGGCCCCUUAUUUGCAUGAACAUUUGUUUUCUUUAUCUAGAAACUUCCUUGCUCAACUUGCCUAUGAAACCAUCCCAGAUCUUCUCAUUCUGUCAGGGAAUGAAUGAUUGUGCCCAGCAGCACGGUCUUGCCCCCUAUUUUCCCACUCUUUGACAGUGUUUCAGUGUGUGCAGUGCUUCAUGAUAGAGCCUAAAUGCAUUCCCUUCAGGAAAACAGUUGAGCCUCCCAGUUUAGCCUUGGGGUUUAAUUAAUUAGUAAUGAUUUAAUGAUUGCUGAUUGGGGUAAGUACUCUCCACAAACAUGUUUAUUUUUCUUAAUUUUUGACUUCCCUUUUUAAGAAAACAUAUGGAGGGUUUUUUUUUUUGUUGUUGUUGUUGUUAUUAUUGUUUUGUUUUGUUGUACCAGGGAUUGAACUCAGGGUUACUCAACCACUAAGCCAGCCCUAUUUAUUUUUUAUUUAGAGACAGGGUUUCACUGAGUUGCUUAGUGCCUAACUUACUGAGGCUGGUUUUGAACUUGAGAUUCUCCUGUCUCAGCUUCCCAAGCAUCUGGGAUUACAGGCAUGCUUGUACUUGGCAUGAAGUGUUUGAUACUAUAAAAGAAUAAUGGAAUGUUUAUGUAUGUAGCACUGAAAUAAUAAGCAUUGGAAAAGUUCCUUUAGUGCCCUGCCAUCCCCCCUAAAAGAAUAUCCUCUACUCAGUGACUCAGGAGGCUGAACCAGGAUUGAGAGUUUAAAGCCAGCCUUAGCAAUUUAGCAAGGCACUAAGCAACUCAGUGAGACCCUGUGUCUAAAUAAAAUACAAAAAAAGGGCUGGGGAUGUGGCUCAGUGGUUGAGUGCCCCGAGUUCAAUCCCUGGUACCAAAAAUAAAUAAAUAAAUAACCUCUAAAGACAGUUUUAUACUCAUCAUUUUAUUGCUUUUGUCUUUAUAUCUUUAAGAGGAUAUUAUUAGGUUUUUAUAUUUUGACCUUUCAAGAAGAUUAUCCAGAUACAUAAGUUUUUGAGCACUGUAGACUCUUAAAGUUGUAAAGGAACUCAGAGCUCUUGUUCAAUCUAAGUAUCCAAAAUAAUGGAAUAGUUAUAUUUUGCAUUCCUAAGAUGAAAUACAGUUUUCAAGAACUUGCUUUGUAAAGAAAACUGCCUAUGAUUUUGUCUAAUAAUGAAGAUCCUUAGUAUUUAGUAUAUAUUUUAAUUAUGCCAACCUCCUCUUAUGUGCAAUAGAAGUGUUGUUUUUAUUUUUGUAGAUUUUUUUGAAAGAUUAUGUCUUCCUUUAAUGGAAAAAAAGGGAAGAAAAGAACACAUAAAUAUUAAAUGUUUGAUAAGUAAUGGUUUGUAUAUUGGAUAUAUCCACUGUAAAAUUCUUUCAGCUUUGCUGUAUGUUUGAAAUUUUUAUAAUAAAAGUGGAAAGUGGGAUGGGGAUGUGGCUCAAGCGGUUGCGUGCCUGCCUGGCAUGCACAGGGCGCUAGGUUCGAUCCUCAGCACCAUAUAAAAAUAAAAAAAUAAAAAAGAUGUUGUGUCCACCGAAAACUAAAAAAAUAAAUAAAAAAUUCUCUCUCUAAAAAAAAAAAAAGUGGAAAGUCAUGGAUGAUUGUUAAAAGAAAAAAAAAAAGUAAUUUGCUGUGGGAAGCCAUUCUCACAUGUGAUUGGGCACCUCCCGGAUUGGGUGUGAGGCGCUCUGGCUAAACUGUGUCGGAGCUUUCCCCACCCUCUCCUGGUGUGAGAGCCUGUCCGUGUGGGAGUGUGACUGACCACUGACCCUGAGGCCAAUCACUGACCCUGACCUUGGAAUGCUGCCCCCCUCGACCUUCAAUGGUUGGAAUUUUCCCCUGAAUUUCUUGUUCCCCAAUAAAAGGCCACUCCCUGGCGUUCUCUCUCUCUCUCUCUCUCUCUCUCUCUCUCUCUCCUGCUAGCCCUGAGUAAGCCUUCCUGCCCUACCAGGUGGUUCGAGGUGUGAGCCAGAGUGGUGAGAGCCGUCUUGGACCUGGUCACAGAAAAAGGUAAUUGAGUCUGUGUGUUUAUUUUGAUCUCACUAGUUAACUUUUAUGCCAUGAACCUCUUUAAUGAAACCAGUGCGCUGAUCACAUGGUGGAAUUUGGUGCCUAACGAGGGGGCAUUCUAGAUUAGUUAGAUUGAGUGGGAGCGCGCUAUAAAGAUAAAGGAAUAGGUGACAAUUUUGAGUCACAAAAGUACCUGGAGAUAUUGAAGGAACGAGAUGUUAAAUUAAUUAAAAUGGGAAAUUCAACUUCUACGGAUAAGGAGAUGUAUCUGACUAUUUUAGACACCAUAAUUAAUCAGAAAGGAAAACAGAUAAAGAAAACUCAGUUAUUACAAUUCUUUUUUUUUUUUUUUUUUAGUUAUUACAAUUCUUAAAGAUUGUAGGCGAGUUUUGCCCUUGGUUUUGUGAACAAGAAUCCCCAAAUUUACUUACUUGGGAGAAACUAGGGAGGAAAUUACAAAAAGUUUGUUUUCUAAUGAAUUACCUGGAGGCAUAGAAAAUAUUCAGAAAACUUGGACAGCUCUGGAAAUUUGUCUUUUUGAAUAUAUGGGACUGAGUUCAUGGCCCCCUGAAGAUCUAUUGAAAGGCAUUCAGAGAGCUAUUAGGUCUAUUCAAAUGGAAAAUCCGCCUGAGGCUGUUAAUUUCCUUUCCCUUUAAAAACAAAGGCUCUAGGGGCUAAACCGAAAGUUAGGAAUGUGACUUUAAACUUGCAUGAUCAGGCUAGCCCGCAGGGAGAUUAUAGAGAAGAAAGUCAUAGAGGAGAAACCUCCGCAGUCCUAGAAAGUCCUCCGGAAGAGAUAGAGGAUCCUCCCGGGGAGGAAAAUCCGGAAGAGAUUCUUAGAGAGGCACAGAGUCCUUCUCUACCACGUGGCUUAGAAGCCCAAUUUCAAAAUGGCGACAGCGGAGAUUCUACCCACGAGUCGCAGUCUGAGGGAGAAGAAUCAGACACUGAAAUUCAGGACUUACAGAGAAAUUUUAACAGGCUGCAUUUAACACCACCUGCCCAGGCUAUUAGAAUUCGGCCAUUACCUGCUAAAAGGACAAAAUUUAACAGGUACUCUAAAUUAACAAUGACUCUUCUUACCCCGUUCCAGCGAGGUAUUAAGAAGGCACAAGAAGCGGGGGAAGAUAUUAGCGGUUUUCAACUUUUCCCAGUUUUUGAACAGAUUAAUGAGCAAGAUCAGAGAGUUAGAGUUCAUGCUGUAAUUCCAUUUAAAACCAUUAAGGAAUUGAAAAGUGCAUGCGAGAUGUAUGGUCCGAGUACGCCUUUUGUACAGAACCUAAUCGAUAAUAUCUCCCCGCAGCCUCUCCCACCUAGUGAUUGGAUUUCAUUAGCCAGAUCUUGUUUGAGUGGAGGGGAUUUCUUACUUUGGCAUUCUUAUUGGACUGAUUUUUGUACUGAACAGGCAGAAAAAAAUAGAAAACAGAAUUUACAGACCCCAGUAGAAAUGUUUUUAGGAAUGGGUGAAUUUGCUGAUUUGGAAAGACAGUUAAAUUAUUAAUUUGUAAUAUAUGAUCAAAUAACUAAUUGUGCUAAACGUGCCUGGAAGCAAAUAGUCUCCAAAGACCAGUCCAAUUUAGUUCUUACCAGAGUCAGGCAGGGUGCGAGUGAGCUGUACUCAGAUUUCGUAGCCCGAUUGUAUCAGACAGCAAAUAGGUCUAUCUGGGACCCUGGGGCGUGCGAGUUUAUUGUUAAGCAGUUGGCAUUUGAAAAUGCAAAUAAAUAUUGUCAGGACAUUCUUAGUCCGCACCGUAAAAAAGGAACAGUUUCUGAGUUUAUCCACUUGUGUUCUGAGAUAGACUCUACCCAUUUGCAGACAGUAACUCUAGCCACGGCACUAAAAGAAACUCUAAAGCCGCAGGAAUUAGUACGGGAGAUGCUAUCUUUGCAGGAGAAAUAACCAUUAUGUGCGCGAAUGUCGCAUGCGUAAUUUUAAGUUCAGGGCUCCAUCUACUGGUGAUAAUAGAUAUUGCAGGACUCAACCCCACGUGGCGGAUCAAGAUGGUGGGGAAUUCCAGGAGAGGUCGCACAGUGUGACAUCACUGGCGCCCACCAGGACGGCCCACAAUUUUUAACGGUACGUAGAUCACAGACAGUUUCCUUAGGACCCUCAACGACAAUUGAAUUGAAUCCUGAAUCAGGGCCAAAACAAAUCCCUACUGGGAUUUUCGGGCUGCUUCCUGAUAAUACUAUAGGUUUAAUUUUGGGACAUUAUAAUUUAAAAGGAGCCAUUGAGGUAAUACCUGGUGUGAUAGAUUCAAAUUUUAAAGGACAAUUAAAUGUUACUGUAAGGUCCAAUUAUGCCCUAAGGCUCACUCCAAAGGAUACAUUUGCCCAAUUGAUUUUAUUGCCCUGUGAUUCGGAUAGACACCCGCGAGUAAAUUCAGUUUCUAAACCGCCGGACAGAGUGUACUGGUUGCAAUUGGUGCGACAAGAAUGCCCUUUAUUAGAACUUAAAAUUAAUCAUAAAAGGUUCCAGGGCAUUCUCGACACAGGGGCUGACAUUUUGGUCUUUUCUAGUAAAUUCUGGCCUAGGAAUUGGCCCUUACUUGUAGCACCAGCUAACCCAGAGGGAAUUGGACAAAUUUCACAGCCUGCUCAAAGUGCAAAUUAUCUCCAUUGGGAAGAUUCUGAUGGGAACAGUGGAGUUUUUAAACCUUAUAUGUUAGAGUCUUUACCAGCAAACCUAUGGGGAAGGGAUAUUUUAGCCAAAAUGGGAUUGUUAUUAGUUACUCCAAAUUCUAUAAGGUCAGUUGAGGAAGUUAAUCAGAGAUAUUUUCCUGGAGAUGAUAAGGAGACCCUUCAGGGAGAGUAUCUGUUUACAAACCAGUCUCCACGACAAAGAUUAGUAAAUGCUCCAAGCCAAAAUUUUUACUAGGGGCCCUGAGUAUUUCCCCGAUCCCUAAGACAGCUGAAAAAAUCACCUGGCUCACAGAGGAGCCUCUAUGGAUUUCUCAGUGGCCCAUCUCAGGGGAAAAACUUAAAAUAAUUCAUAGGUUAGUUGAGGAACAACUUCAGGCUGGUCAUAUAGAACCAACACUCAGUCCUUGGAACACACCUAUUUUUGUUAUUAAGAAAAAGUCCGGAAAUUGGAGAUUGCUACAGGAAUUAAGGGCGAUAAAUCAUGCAAUUCAGCCUAUGGGAUCAUUUCAGCCAGGACUUCCUUCCCCCACAGCCAUCCCUUUAAACUAUAGCUUGAUGGUAAUAGAUUUAAAAGAUUGUUUUUUCUCUAUAAGGUUACAUCCUGGAGAUUGUGAGAGAUUUGCCUUCACUGUCCCAGCAAUUAAUUUUAAGGAACCUGUUAAAAGAUAUUGCUGGAAAGUACUCCCCCAGGGAAUGCAUAAUAUUCCUACCUUAUGCCAAAAAUAUGUUGAUCAGGUGAUAGAUCCCAUAAGAAAUAGCUUUCCGGAUGUGUAUAUUAUUCAUUUUAUGGAUGAUAUAUUAUUGGCUCAUGCUAAUCCAGAGGUACUUUCAGAAAUUUUUACUCAGAGGCUUCACUUACAGCAAUGGGUUUAUGCAUUACUCCUCAAAAAAUUCAAAAGAUGCCUCCUUUUCAAUAUCUAGGUCAGAUAAUUCAAGGACAUAAAUCCGUCCUCAAAAUCUUCAGAUAAGAGUUAAGGAGUUACAUACCCUUAAUGAUUUUCAAAAGCUAUUAGGAGCUAUUAAUUGGCUGAGACCAUCCUUAAAACUAACUACUUCUGAGUUAAGUCCUUUAUUUCAGAUUUUACAAGGAAAUCCUUCUCUAACCUCUCCACGUCAGCUAACCUUAGAGGCUAGAACAGCUUUAAAAAAGGUUGAAAAUGCAAUUAAAAAUUCACAGCUUACUAGAGUUGAUCCUAAAGAAAUAGUGUAUUUAUUAAUAUUUCCAACUGAGCAUACCCCAACAGGAGCCAUAUGGCAAAGAUUAGGAGUUAUUGAGUGGAUUUAUUUAUCCCACUCCCCUCAAAAAACAUUAAUUCCUUUCCAUGACUCUAUAGCUCAAUUAGUAAUUAAAGGCAGAACUAGGAUUUUACAAUUAAUUGGAUCUGAGCCUGAUAUCAUAAUUAUUCCAUUUUCUGUUCAACAGACUAAUUGGCUUUUUCAAACUUCUAGCUUAUGGCAGAUAGCUUUUGCUGAUUUUCCUGGCUAGAUAGAUAGCCAUUACCCUCGUGAUAAGAUUAUCCAAUUUGCAUCAUUAAUGUCACUUAUUUUUCCAAAGAUUGUGCGUGCACAUCCUAUGGAUGAAGCUUUAUCGGUGUUCACUGAUGGUUCAAGCUCAGGUAAAGCAGGUUUUUAUAGUCGUGUUCACACAGAGGUAAUGCAAACUUCAUAUACUUCUGCCCAAAGAGCAGAGCUUCAAGCUCUGAUUUGUGCCUUAAAUUGUUUUUCAAAUGAGCCUAUUAAUAUUUAUUCCAACAGCUUAUAUGCAGUCGGAGUUACCAAAAAUAUUGAAACUUCAGUUAUUGGGUAUACUUCAUCACAAGAGUUAUUUGAAUUAUUUCAUAAUUUACAGAAGGCAGUGCUAAUGCGAAAAUACCCAUGUUUCAUAGGACACAUACGAGCUCAUACUAAUCUUCCUGGACCUUUAGUUUCAGGUAAUGACAAAAUUGAUAAAUUAGUAGCUUUUUGUCAACAGAUGUCUUCAUAUGACUGUGUACAAGCUUCCCAUUCCUUGCAUCAUCAAAAUGCUUCUAGCUUACAUAAAAAAUUUAAUAUUACCAGAGAACAAGCUCAUCAAAUUGUAAGCCAAUGCCCUAAGUGUGUUAUUCACACUCCAUCUCCACCAUCAGGGGUAAAUCCCCGUGGAUUAAAACCAAAUCAAAUAUGGCAAAUGGAUAUAACUCAUAUUCCUCAAUUUGGUAAGCAAUGUUAUGUACAUGUCAUAGUGGACACAUAUUCCAGAUUUAUUUUUGCCACAGCACGUACUAAGGAAAAUACUCAACAUGUAAUUUCUCAUUGCCUAGCAGCUUUUUCUGUGUUAGGGUGCCCUAUGCAGAUUAAAACAGAUAAUGCUCCAGUUUAUGUAAGCUCUUCUUUUCAACAAUUUUGCCAAGAGUUUCAAAUUAAUCAUAAAACAGGAAUUCCUUAUAACCCCUAAGGUCAAGCCAUUGUGGAACAAGCUCAUUUAUCUAUUAAGCUUCAAUUACAAAAAUUAAAAGGGGGGGGAAUAGGGUUAUGACUCCCCAAAAUAGCCUCAAUCAUGGUUUGUUCAUUUUAAAUUUUUUAAACUGACGCAGAAGGUCACACUGCAGCUGAGAGGCAAAUGUCUCCCUCAGUAACAGGCCCUUUAGGCAGAGUUUUGUGGAAAGAUUUACAGACUGGUCAAUGGAAAGGCCCAGACCCAGUGAUUAUGUGGGGCAGAGGUCAUGCUUGUAUUUUUCCAGAAGGUGCUUUUCAUCCUAUCUGGGUGCCUGAACGUGCAAUUAGACAUGGAAGAGAUAGAACCGAGAUUCAAGCGACUGAAGAUCGACCCAGAGGAGCCCCCAUCCAAAAGGAAGAGAUAUCGGAAAAAGAUGAAGAAAAACCAAAUUGACCCAGCUGAAAAGCUGAUUUCAUGGGGAGAGGUGAAGAAGCUAACAACACAGGCUUCCCGAAUACUUCGACUCCUAGGAAAGAACAGGACUCCAGUCUUGAUGGUAGCGACAGUAAUUGCCCUGCUGGGCUGUCAGGAUGGCGAGUCUUCAGAACAAGAAUGCAGAAACUCAAAAGAGUGAACCACCGCCUCAUUUUUAAGAGAAAAAAGGGGGAAUAUGUGGGAAGCCAUUCUCGCACGUGAUUGGGCACCUCCCGGAUUGGGUGUGAGGCGCUCUGGCUAAACUGUGUUGGAGCUUUCCCCACCCUCUCCUGGUGCGGGAGCCUGUCCGUGUGGGGGUGUGACUGACCACUGACCCUGAGGCCAAUCACUGACCUUGACCUUGGAAUGCUGCUCCCCUCGACCUUCAUUGGAUGGAAUUUUCCCCUGAAUUUCUUGUUCCCCAAUAAAAGGCCACUCCCUGGCGUGCUCUCUCUCUCUCUCCUGCUAGCCCUGAGUAAGCCUUGCUGCCCUACCGGGUGGUUCGAGGUGUGAGCCAGAGAGGUGAGAGCCGUCUUGGACCUGGUCAUAGAAAAAGGUAAUUGAGUCUUUGCGUUUAUUUUGAUCUCGCUAGUUAACUUUUAUGCCAUGAACCUCUUUAAUGAAACUAGUGCGCUGGUCGCAUGGUGGAAAUUUGCCAUACUAGAACUUGC
This 11935-nucleotide long non-coding RNA is filed under the name Marmota monax (woodchuck). Lineage: Eukaryota; Metazoa; Chordata; Mammalia; Rodentia; Sciuridae. The record is from RNAcentral.